CGUGUCGUGAGAUGUUGGGUUAAGUCCCGCAACGAGCCCAACCCCUGUGAACUGUUUCCACCGGCGCAAGCCGAGCACUCUGUUCAGACUGCCCUGUGAAACGGGGAGGAAGGUGGGGACGACGUCAAGACAGUAUGGCCCUUACGGCCUGGGCUGCACACGUACUACAAUGCCCAGUACAGAACGAUCCGAGACCGCGAGGUGGAGGAAAUCUAGUAAAACUGGGCUCAGUUCGGAUUGGAGUCUGCAACUCGACUCCAUGAAGCCGGAAUCGCUAGUAAUGCCGUAUCAGCUACGACGGCGUGAAUACGUUCCCGGGCCUUGUACACACCGCCCGUCACAUCAUGGAAGUCAUUUGUUGCCGAAGCCGGCGCGCCAACCAGCAAUGGAAGCAGCCCGUG
Molecule: ribosomal RNA, 401 nt
Filed under: uncultured Xiphinematobacteriaceae bacterium
Lineage: Bacteria; Pseudomonadati; Verrucomicrobiota; Spartobacteria
Description: bacterial SSU rRNA
Rfam family: Bacterial small subunit ribosomal RNA
Source: RNAcentral